UUCAAAAUAAAUAAUAUAAAAACUCUUUCUUCAUUCAUCUCUCGCACAUUCGGUUCUCCCUUUAUUCCCUCCUCUUUUCUACUAUUUUUCUUCUUUUUCUCUCUUUCUCCUUUAUUGUCCUUUCUAGCAAAGUGCUGCCGCUUCCUCCACACACUUUCCAGUGUCUUACCUCCGAUCAGGCCAGCUUCCUUCUCAUCAUUCGAAAUUUAAGUCCUCAAGUAUCUCUAUCCAAUCCAUUGCCCCUCAUUUCUUCGAAGAUUCUCUCUCACUCUCGGUCUCUUUUCAACGUUUUCCUGUCAUUCUUUUUUAGCUUUGGGUAUCCACAGGCCAAAAAAACACACGCUAGAGUAGGAAGAGAGUUUUCGUGAGUUUUUGUGAUUUUUGAAAUUCUCUGCUUCAACGGAGACUCAUUUCAGAUGAAAAUAGCAGUGGAAGGGUUCAUGCAUGGAGAUCUCGACAAGGUCUACAAGACCAUUAAAUACAUCGAAAAUACUCGCAACAUCGAAAUCGACCUCCUCCUUUGUUGCGGUGAUUUCAAGGCAGUCAGGAAUGAAAGAGAUAUGGAUAGCCUCAAUGUGCCUCCAAAAUAUAGGGAGAUGAAGUCAUUCUGGAAAUACUGUUCAGGUGAGGAGGUUGCCCCAGUUCCCACCAUUUUUAUUGGUGGAAAUCAUGAAGCUUCCAAUUAUUUAUGGGAAUUGUACUAUGGGGGAUGGGCAGCACCAAAUAUAUAAUUCUUAGGGUUUGCUGGGGUUGUGAAGUUUGGCAAUAUCCGUAUCGGCGGACUUUCUGGAAUUUACAAUGCACGUAAUUAUUUUUUAGGCUAUUGCAGCAAUGAUGCGCGCUCAGGAGGCCGAUCCUACCAAUCUGGAAGUACUUAUGAAAUUAAAAAUUUCAGAACAUUAGCUUUGUGGUUUCGAGGAUAGUGCUACCACUUUUAUUCCCUUCUUCACUGCGCGGCUGCUGCUGCUACUGUUUCUGUUCGCCUUCAGCAUUUGGCGUGGUUUCUCAACUGCCUAGGCUUUGUUUUAUGAUUGGAUCAAUGGAUUCUGGAAAUUGUGCCAGCAAAAAUUCUCCCAAGUUAAUUAAAAACUGCACAGACGAAACUGAUAGGGUAAUUAUUGAUCCUUCGGCAACUACUAGACAAGGUAAUAAGGAAUCUUCUCUAGGGCCUAUCACCUCUGAUGCGAACAGAGGAAUUGGAGAGUUCCCCUAUAAAUUUAAUUCUCCACCCACCGAAGUGAAGAAAGCACAAAAUCAUCCUCACUUUGAUCCUGAUACCACCAUAAACCAAGAGUCAAUGGUUUCUGUCAACCAUAGUAGACCUAGAACCCCAAAGGAUGGUAUUUUCGACCCAUUUGCUCCUGGCCCAGAAUGCAUGGUGUUUGCUCCUUCCUACAGGAAAUAUGUUGAUGAAAUGAGGAUAACUGUUGCACGCUGCCUAAAUUUUAACAUCUCUGUUGGAACUGUGGGUUCUGUAAACCAUAGAACUGCUGUAGAUUCUAUUUCAGAUGAAGAAAUGUUUGAGUCUGUUUAUGAAAAUCUCUUGGAAGUUAUCGUUUCAAACCAAGCUGAGGGUUUUCUUAAUGAAUUUUCAAAUAUAGAAUGUGAUCUGAUGGUAGUAAGAUACCCCUUCAGCUCUUUGCCUAAAUGGGGUUUCUGAUACUUGCCCUGGUGCUCCUAUUAAACUCACUGGGAGAUCAAGGGUCAUUGAUUUGGGGUUCUGCAGAAAGCUUGAAUUCUAAAACUACACUUAAUGACAUGGCAGGGGAUCUAAUUUGCUCUAUUUGUUUCAACCCUAACAGCAUGCCUCUAGUUAAAGCUUUUGCUUUUUGCAGAUGUCUGUCUGACUUCCAAAAUAACAGAGUAACAUUGUAUAGUUAUUUUCACUUGCAACUAUUUUUUCUUCUUUUUGACAAGGGAUAAUGUUGCACAACGCAUUGUAGCAUGCAUAUCAUUGUUCCAGCUAUCAUGUAUCUGGUUCUCUUUGACAGAUAAUCUUUUAUGGUAAUCAAGCUUGAAGAAACCUUUUUACUUUAUAUGUGUCCCCACCCAUUUUCCGGUUAUUUUUUUGACGUCUAGUAGUUUCCUUUUUUUUUUUUCCUCCAUUAUUUUGUAAUGCCCGAAUUGAGAUGGUUCUGCAGUCAACACUUAUGUACCCCUAACACGUUCAAAGGAUAAUUUUACAUUGAACUAUUUCACUGCAAAAUAUGUGAUUCAGUAUUCCUUUUCUUGUGUCUACAGAUACAAGAAGAUAUUAAGAUAUAUCUUAAACCCUAGAAUGCAGGGGUUUAUAUAGAGAGAGAGAUGAAUCAUAGCAUAUUUACUGUGAACCCACUGCGUCGAAUAAGACAGCACAAUGGGGAAAUAGGAGGGGUGCUUGGAGGACAAAGAGCCAACACCCGUGGGAAAUGGUUGUGUGCAUAUAUGGUUUUCCAACCAAUGUAUCUGCUCAUCCAUUUCUUAUGCUUGUUGCUAAACUGUUGUUCAAUCUACUUGGUUGAGUUACUAGUAUGAUGUUCUUAUAUAUAUCCUAUGCAGUAUGGUGGAUUUGCGCUCAUUUUCAACUAAAGAAUUUUAUUGGCUCGCAUCAUGCUUUUGGGGCAUCAUCACCUGCAAACUAGUCUAUGAUAUAACAGGUUUUAGCAGCCCUUUUUGUUUCAAAGGAUAUGGAAAACUAAGUGAUAAAGAAAAAGUGGAAUGGAACAAUCGGUGCAAUUUUGUCCUAUGUUCUUUUCUUCUUUUCCUUUUCCUUGUAUAAAAAAUUGUUCAAAAUAUAACUUUCUUUCCUAAAUUUCUUUGCAACAUUGAUCUAGAUAGCCUUAUCUUGUACAGGGAUUUUCAACUUUCCAUGCUUUAAUUGCAGCAUGGGCUUCUCUCUACCUCCUACUAUUCUCAGAUCUUUUUGACGAGGAUUCCAGUAAUGACUUGAUUGUUAAUAGAUUCCAAAUCCCAAGAUAGCUCCUCUUUUUUACUUGAAUGAUUUUCACAUUGAUUUCUUAGCUGUGGGAUUUAUUGAAUUCAGGAAUAGAGAAACAUUCCCAGAAGAGACUGAAGCCUGUAAACGCUGCAACUGUAGAAGAUCCAGAUGUUUGACACUGUAAGUUCACAUGCGAGACAGAACAUUUCACUUAGUACUAUGUAACUCGGACUUGGUUUAAACAUAUACCCGAGAUCGGUAUGUUUAAUUUUCUUUUAAGUUUUCUUCAUGUAUUUAGAAGAUGUUUGGAAUAUGAUACCCGGAAUGUUCAGAGGGUGCUCAAAAAAAGUGAAGAUGUUUAGAAGAUGUUUGGAACAUCUGUUGAGUUUUGUUGUUUGUUGUGAUCAGCAGUUAUUGUGAGUGCUUUGCAGCAGGGAUUUACUGCAAGGAUUGUUGUGCAUGUGAUAACUGUUUGAACAAGCCAGAUUAUGAGUAUAUUGUGCUUCAUAUUCGACAUCAAUUGAAUUGCGUAACCCUCUCGCAUUUGCUCCACCUAUUGUUAACCCACCUAAUGAUUCCCCUAAUGUUACUGGUGAUGAAAACUUGAUGAACACUCCAUCAGCCAGGCACAAAAGCAGAUGCAAAUACAAGAAGUCAAAAUGCCUAAAAUAGUAUUGCGAGUGCUAUCGGAAUCAAUGUUCCAGAGAGUGGAAAAACAGCAGAAUCAGUCUCAUGAGAAGCUAAAUACAGCUCAAGUUAUGUCUGACAGCACCUUGGCCGGGACUGCUAAUUCGUUUUCAUCAAUGUGGGAAAAACUCAUCUGACAUCCUGCCUCAAGAUUACAUGAUAUGAGGGACUGUCAAAAUGUCUCACAGGCUGAAUCAGAAAAAGGAACUAGCCUUCAUUGCUACUCCUCUGCCUUGAGUCCUAAGCAACAAUGUCUGAGUAAGGAGAUUGAUAAUAUCUGUGAGAUCAUGGUAGAUGGUUUUCCUGACUACCACAUGGAAACCUCCAACCCCUUCGACACAGUGAAAUCUGGCUCGGGUUUGGGGCUCUAUAAUGGUGGUACGUGACAAUCUUAAAACAGUGAAGGCAAUUGCUUUGGAGUACGUGGGAUACUACCGUUAGAUGUGGACACUUUGAAGCCUAAUCUCAUUGAAGGGAAAGGUUUGAGUUCGCUAUCUGAUUCGCAAAGAGAAAAAAGUUGUUGAGCAAAUAUUUGUAUGCUUUGCUUCUCCAUUCAUUUUCUGAACUUUUUGCAGUUUAAAAACAAUAACAGGAUAUUUAAAUUAAUUAUGUUAUUAUGCAUGGACAAUAUGCUGAUUAUUGCCCAAUGAUAAACUUUUGCUUGUGCAAGCAUCAAUAAAGAGGGGAAUGUGCUCCUACUGUAUCUUUAAAACACUAUUUUUUUCUUCUCUUGUAUAUUGAUCUUACCAUAGAACUUCAGCUUAAUGAUGUGGAAUAAUUGCCUCUGUUUUCAACUUACUAUCCUAGUGGGAUACUCUGAUAGGUUUUUGGACGAGGAAGACACAGAGUGGAUGCCAGCUGGUAUUGGACUGGUUUUGGGCCUUGAUUUAGUUAGUUAGAUGGGUCCUUUUUUCUUCUUUUUUUCUUUUGUUUUCUUUUUCUCUCUUCCUCCUUUAUUGUCCUUUCUAACAAACCGCUGCCGCUGCCUCUGCCUCCACACACUUUCCAGCGUCUUACCUCCUAUCAGGGCAGCUUCCUUCCCAUCAUUCGAAAUCUAAAUCCUCUAAUAUAUCUAUUCAUUUCAUAGCUCCCUCGUUUCUUCGCCAAUUCUCUCACUCUCGCUCUCUUUUCAAUUUUUUCCUGUCAUUCUUUUUUAGCUUUGGGUAACCACAGGCCAAAAAAUCACACGCUACAGUCGGAAGAGAGUUUUCGUGAGAGAGAAACCCUAAGUUUUCUUUGGCAUUUCUGGUUUUUUUUUAUUUUUUAAAUCUGCUGCUUCAUCGGAGACGCAUUUCAGGAUAAGCUAUUCGAAGAAUAUCCCGUCUUAUCCCAUCUCGGCACAGUAUUUUUAUUGAACGGUUCAGUUGUUUUUUGUUUCCGGUUCAGGUUUUUUGCGUGUUUGGACCGGGCUUCCUGUCGUACUUAUUCCGGAUGGGGAUAUCCCACUCCUGGGACAUCCCGGAUAGGGGAUAUCAUUUAUAAGGAUACCCCGGCUUGGUAUAUCCCAUUACAGGGAUAUUCGAAUUUAGGAUAUGGGAAUUUGAGGCUUGGGGCUUGGGUUUAGGGGUGGGCAGGUGUUAUCAAUUAGAAAAGCCGUGUGUCAUCUCAUCAGGUGACCAGAAUAUGUACCAAAAUUUUCAUUAACCUUAUAAAUUAUUAAAAAAGAAUUGACGGUGAGGUUUCUUUUUAAUUGAAAUGGGCUUUUUUAUAAUAAAUCCAACAAGCCAAUUCUAGGCCAUUGACGACUUUAAUCCAACAAACCAAAUGGACCGUCUAAAUGAGGGGAAGAAAAGAAGGAAGCCAGCCAGCCACUAAGAAAUGAAGCUUCUCUCUCCUUUAUUAUAGGGUUUAUGAAUAAUCUCGAUUUCAAUCUCUCUUCUCCUGACAUAUCUCCGGCAAUAAAACGCCAGCAUUUCAUUCCAUCUUCGUUUGUUGGGUUUUGGGUCAGAUCGACUCCCGGGUAAGAAUUCAUGCCUUUGUUUCACAGUUCGACUCCUUAUUCCGCUUCUCCUAAAGAUUCUUCUCAUUUGAAUCUUUGCCAUUGUCGUUGUUACACAGCUUUUGGUUUGGAAUUACCGGUCGAUCAUAGGAUGGUUGACUGAAUCGGUUUCCAAAUUGGGUUUUUGUUUUGUAUUGUAAGCAAUUUACUGAAUGUGGAUUAUAAAUCCAUAAAUCCAUAAAUGGAUUUUGGAUUUCUUUGUCUUUGUUAUUUCAGAAAGUGAUUUGUUUGUAAUUUAUGCUUUUGGUUGGUUUAAAAUAGUUUAACUAUUUUGGAGUAACAUAGGGAUAUUGCGUUGCCAGGUAUCAAAUUGUACACUCUGCUUGUCUCAGGUUUUAGUGAGAACUCUUCAUUAGUAUCUAAGCUGGGACUUAAAAUUUUUCAUAGGAUGGAUGAUCUCUUUACAGUCAAUCAUCCAGGACAGAUGUUUGAGUUUUCAUGUUGUCCUUCGUAAAUUCUCGGGUCUCUAGAACAUUACUUGGACUAAUAAAUUAGCUUUAUGGUUAAAA
Molecule: RNA transcript, 6112 nt
Organism: Gossypium arboreum
Lineage: Eukaryota; Viridiplantae; Streptophyta; Magnoliopsida; Malvales; Malvaceae
Gene name: lariat debranching enzyme-like
Exons: 13
Source: RefSeq, a predicted model, not a curated record